Molecule: transfer RNA, 23 nt
Filed under: Rosa majalis (cinnamon rose)
Lineage: Eukaryota; Viridiplantae; Streptophyta; Magnoliopsida; Rosales; Rosaceae
Also listed under: 101 other names
Description: partial tRNA-Gly
Source: RNAcentral
AGCGGGUAUAGUUUAGUGGUAAA